GUAGCCUUGCGCGUUCGAGGUUCUCUGCCCUGCAGAGCUAAGAUGGGAACGCGGUCCAAGCCGCGGCUGCCCCCGCAACUGUAAGUGAUGAAGGCUGCGCCAAGGCCACUGCGAGUGUUCGCGGGAAGGCGCCGCAGCCUCGGCCAGCACGGUCGGCAUCACGAGCCAGGAGACCUGCCUCAGCCGUUCUUUCCUA
This 196-nucleotide non-coding RNA is filed under the name Pseudomonas rhizosphaerae. Lineage: Bacteria; Pseudomonadati; Pseudomonadota; Gammaproteobacteria; Pseudomonadales; Pseudomonadaceae. The record is from RNAcentral.